CAGGGUUGGCGGACUGGAGAAGGAGCGAAGAUGGCGGAGUGAGGCGUGCAGCUGGUGACUGGCCUAUGGGCCGGGGGCGGGCCGGCCCCUGGGAGUCCGAGUUCGUCUGUGUGGCCAUGCGAGUUGUCAUUGUUGCUUUAGCUGUCCCGGGCUGUAUUUGAACCGGCCAGCCUCUGUAUACUUGGCCUGCGCCCUACGACUAAGCUACGGGCACCACCCAAGGUUCCUUAUCACAGGAAGAACAUUUUCCUUGACCUUUAGGUGCUUUUGUAUUCCUCUCAAAAACAAAAUGCUAAACUCAGGACUUGGAAAGUAUCUCUGUGUUGUCUCCUACAGUGGGCAGUCCGAUUUCCUUUAUCCAGCCACUUUCCCUAUUCUUGAAAUGUGGAUAUGACUUCUCUACACAUUACCUCCAUGUUUUGGAAUGGAAAAGACCAGGUUUUUUGUUCCACCUCUCAGAUUCAACACAAAGAAGCCCCUAACAUGUGUUUGUCCUGCCUACUUCUCCAGGAUGCAACUGACAUGGGUCUUCUGCUGCUGUUUGCUUAAUUGUAAAGAAAUUAUUUUGCAAACUAAAGGCUAAUGUUCCAUUUGAAACAGGUGCUUAGAUGGUGAUAUUUGUGAAUAUUUUAUUGUUUGUUCCAAAUGAGAAGAAAAAAGUAUGGAGGACUUCAGGGUUUUUUUAAUGUCUUCCAGUUUCAGCCACUAUCAUGAUAAGAACAGUUGAGACUUCACAGUAAAUUCCAAAUAUGCAUUCUAAUUUGAAAUGAAAGAUGCUAAAAAGUUACAUUCAUUGUAUACCUAAUCCUGGCUCAUCCUAUGACAGAUUACAGAGUAAACAAAGAUACUGGUCUACAAUUAAACCUCCGAUGAGAUAAAAGCAGCAUAAAGACAAACCAUCAAAGUUAAUUUCUUAUGCAAACGUACCUUCACAGUGUCUCUGCAAAUACACAGUUUUACAUGUGUAAAUCCCCGUUUUUGGAUCAGAAGAGGGAUUUUUUUCCAAGACAAAAAAGGUGUUUUCUCAGAAGGCUUGGGACAUUUGAUUUCCUAAAAAUGUUUUUUAUUCUAAGGAAGUACCAGAUUGUGCAGCAGUUAACCUAUGAGUGCAUGCUUGAGUUUAGUGAAAGGGUAGUAAAAGAAAACAGUUUUGAGUCUAGUGAUGGACCUUUUCACCUUCCUCGGAGGAAAGACUGCUUCAUUCUUUUUUGUGGAAUCUUAUAUAGCAUUUGAGACUUUGUUUUCCACAUUGCUAAGACUGGAAGAAAAGUGGCAGUAAGUGGUUUUUCAGUUCAAAAGACUUGAUAAACCCAGUAGUAUGGCCUGUCUUCAACUUUGGACAUAGAGGAAUGGGGAGGAGGAGAAAUGAGAGAAUUUUCCAUUUGAUUCCUUUUUAGAGGCAAAAAAUCCCUAAUGCGGCUCCCUCUGACUUUACGGUGUGUUAUAUAGCUCCAUUUUUUGUAAAAGCAUAAAUAACUCUUUUCCUUAGGCCCAGAUGGAUACUUGGAUUUUGACUUAUUCUAGGUGAUAGGGGUAAUGUUAUAUUGAAAAGGCUGGGACUCAGGUACUUUCCUUAGUUGGGACUGAACUUUCUCAUCAGAGAAGGGGCCUCAGAAGCAAUGUUCCCAAAUUUGUGGUUGGGCCAUUGUAGAUUCAGGGUGUGGAAAAGAAACCUCAAACAAGAAAAAUAGUUCCAAUAAGAAAUACAGAUUUUCCUUUUUCUCAUUUAACAUUUAUACCAUAUGAUGAACAGACUAUAGUAGAAAUUUGUUGCUUCCAAAUCAGCAGAGGACUAUUCUGAGUAUUGACAGGUCUUUACAUAAGAAAAGUAAAACUGUUAUGAUCCUUUGUGAGUAGAAUAUGAAUUUAGGACUUAUAGAUAAAAUUAAAAAUAGAUUAUCUCUGUUUUCUGGAAUGUUUGCUCAGGGCCUUGCAUGCAGUGGUGCUUGGAACUUAGGGCAGAUUCACCAAAAUUUGAGUGAUGGAAAUGGCCCAAAAUGGGAAAUGGUGAGCACCCAUAAUGAUUAGUGAGAUUGGUCAACCAAUCUGAAAUGGGAUUAAAAAAGAAUUGUAAAACAAUGUAGAUAAGAUAUAAUUUAUUUUGACCAAAGUCAAAUAUUGAGUCAUAUAGUAUGGUAGAAAUAACUGGUUAAAAGUAACUUAAAUUUUUCUUUAAAUAAUCUCCAAGCUCUCCAAUAAUCUCUGAUGUUCUCCUAAGAUUUGGAAUUAUUCAAGACAGAAUGGAGCCUACACAUACCUGGGUCUCACUGGUAUGUUGAGAAUAUCUUACCAUGGAAAAUUUGUACCUUCCAAUUGUCUAUUAUCCAUUUUCCCCAUGUCCUGUGGCAAUUUUUUGGGUAGGAUCAUUGAGCCAAGGGAUAGGGUACCUACAUUAUGAGCACCAGUGAAACCAGCUGUGGCCUGCUUGUUUGAACAAAUCAGACUAAGCUUCUCCAAAUGCUUGCUUUAUAUUUUUUCAUUUCUCAGUUCAGACGACUGUGUUUAAUGCUUUUUCAAAUUGUUUCUAUAUCUCGCAUGGUUGAUACCAAAUGGCAUUUAACAAAAUGGGUAUAUUCCAGUUGUAGUUACCCAGUAUUUACUUAGUAUAUCUACAUUUUUUCUUGUCUAUUUUGGUCCCCUUCUUGAUGUCAAAAGGUAUAAUUUUAGGCAGGACUAUGCCUCAAUCUGUAGUUGGGCCUUCUACCUUUCCCUUGCUUUCCAAUGUUAGGUGGCCGUUUUUCUUUUGAAAGUUCAACAAAACGGGAUAUGUGCAAUAGGAAUAUAUAUAUGUAUAUUUUAAUACUUGUGGACAAAUGUUACAAGUUGUUUAAGAACAACAAAAUCACCAAUGUCUUCCAUUUUGAGAUGUGUAUAGUUUUGUAAGCAUUAGUGCUUGGUAGCAUAUUGUAGUGCUUAUGUUAGGGGUUAGUGCAUGAGCCUAGUAAUAAAUAUAUACUUCAGGAUGAAUUGUUGAUUAUAACAAAUAGUGUAAAAAGAGUGGAAAGUCUUGACUUUUUCAUAAAUAUGUGAAUCUGUGAUAUUCUCCCUGGGGAAAGGAGAUUAAGGCCAAAUAAGACUCAUUUAUAAAUAGAAAUGUGGAGUCAUACUCUUGAGAUACUGUGUUUGAGGAUAUUUCAGCUUUCCAUGAGGUAGCUGGAAACAAGCUGCCUUUUUGUUUUAUGAAACCUCAAAAUGAGACCCCUUUUCCUGAUUCUGCUUGUUUUUAGUUUGAUGUUAAACUUUGCAUGUUCUUAAACUGUAUUCACAUUGUAUGUCUUUCAGGUUUAUUAUUUUCCUACUCCUUGUAUGUCAAGAAUUUAUUUUACACAUUGCAUGUCAUACUGAGAUGCCCUAUUAGUUGUUUCAGUGAGUGCUUUUCUAAUUUGCAGACUGUUUACAUUUCUUGUCUGCAACAUGCUGUGUGUAAACAUUGUCAGUAAUUCAUAGUGCCCUAGAUUAUUUGUAGCAGGCUCUUACUACUUCCAAAUCUGCUGAAUUGUACACUAAUGAGAUUUUAGAUCUUUUCUAAAGAAUUGAAGAUGGAUGGCUCCUACCUAGGUUACCUGUAAUAGUAGAUAGAGUCUGUCUUGGUUAUAGAAAGCCUCAGUCAGCUUUCACUGUUUACACUUCUCCUGUUGACAACUGUUUUGUUCUGAAAGCAUAUGAUAGCUUUCUGUAGAAUUCUUACCUCUAAAAGCAACCUUGAGAACUUGGAAGUGGCAGUGUUGAGAUGAUGUUAAAAUCUCAAUAUUAAAGAUUUGACUUCAGGAUUUGUUGACAGAUUCUACAGUUGGUAUGAUAGUAAAUGCAAAACUAUUUUAAUGUGGUAUCUCCUGUACAAGCAAGUUAGAGUAAGUAGCCUCUGGCAGCAGAUCUCCAGGGACUUGGGUUUAAAUUCUUAUAGUGUGCUUGAAGCCAAGAGGUUUAGUGCCUGGGAGAACCCAUUUCUGCAAAACAUUUGAUUAAAAAAAAAAAACUCUGAAAAGGUAAUGAGUGCAAAAUAGCACAGAGUAUAGGAAAGGGUAUUUCCUGUUGCAAAAAAAAAAAAAAAAGCCAUAAAAUGAGCUCAUAAUUUCCUUUUUUCAUUUUUUUGAGACAGAGUUUCACUAUGUUGCCCUUGGUAGAGUGCUAUGGCGUCACAGCUCACAGCAACAUCAAACUCUUGGGGUUAAGCAAUUCUCUUGCCUCAGCCUUCCAAGUAGCUGGGACUACAGGUGCCCACCACAAUGCCUAGCUAUUUUUUUUUUUGUUGCAGUUGUCGUUGUUUAGCAGGCCUGGGCUGGGCUCAAAUUUGCCAGCCUCGGUGUAUGUGGCCAGUGCCCUACAGGCGCCGUGCUGAGCUCAUAAUUUUCAGGAGGUAGAAUUUUAGUAGCAAUAACACUUUUGCUUGUAUAGUUAAUUGCAUUAACAAGGUUGUACAAUGGAAUAGGUGGUACUACUUGAGUUUGUGGGGCUUUAGAAUCAGUAAGAGUUGCACAAAAGGAAAAAGAUGUUUUGGAUAAAGAGCAUACAAAAGGUACUUCUAAAACAGUAUGAAUGUAUAUGAAUAUAUCAUUGUGUGGGAAAUGCCAACUUUGGUCUAAGCUAAAGGUUAAAGACCCUACUUUUUUUUUUUUUUUUAUUUCAGUUUGCUUGUUCAUUCUUCGUUUGAAGUACUCUUUUUUUGUUCAUUUUCUUCUUUCUCUGGCAAUGCUUUGUCUCACUGUUUUUGAUGUUAGUAGAGACAGGGUCUUACUCUGGCUUAACUGCUGUUCAUACUGGUCUCGAACCUCUGAGCUCAGGCAAUCCACCCACCUCGGCCUCCCACAGCACUGGGACUACAGGCGUGAGCCACCAUGCCCCCGGCCCCUACUUUUUUUCUAAAGCAGAAGAUAAGAGCUAUUGAAAUGAACCCUUUCUAGUGCUUCACUGUAAAACCCAUGUGCUCCUGCAACCCCACUGAAGCGGUCUUAGUUUUUUGCAUAAGAUGUUCUUUUUAGCAACAGGCAUUUGUUCUGUACAUGGCAUAGUUUUCUAAUUUAUCUCAUUUUUCUCCAUUGGUUUCUUGUACAUUUUUUAAAAAGAAAAGUUUAUAUGUUUUGUGUUUUAAAAAAAGAACAUGGAUAGCUGGAUUUUCCUAAUGCUUAUAGUUAGGGAAUUGGGUUUUAAAGGUGAAAAGGAAGAGGAUUAAAGGGAAUAGACCAUGACUGUAUGCAGGUUUGUGUGUGUGUUUGUGGGGGGGUGUUUUCUAAACCUUGUCUAAUGUAGAUGUGGCCUAUGGCUUAUGAUUGAUUGCUUAUUCUUUUAACAAGGAGAACCCAGCAAACUAAUUUCUUUUUUGAUCUGAGGAAUCACAGAGCUCAUAUCAGGAUACAAGGGUGGAACUAAGGUGACAUCUUAACCCCCUUUCACCUCAUGUCCAUGUUUGCCAUUCAGCACCUUGAAGAUCCCAGAGAAGAUCUGGUCUAUGUUCCCUUGUUUUCCCAGAGGGGAAAAAAAAAAAUAGAAGAUAAGUGGUGUAGAUCUAAGAAAAUAUUUAAUUCUUAUAAGGCAACUCUCACAGAUAGAGAAAAAGGCUAUUUUAAGUUGAUUAUAGCUUUUCUUUGAAUGUCCUGUACCAUUAAUUGGUGUCAGAGAUUUUGAAACAAUAUUUAGAAAUCUGCAUGAUCUUGGAAACAGGGGUACACAUUUCCCAUAACAGCCAUGUUAAACAGUCCUAAAUGCUAAAAUAUACUACAAGUUUUUCAAAAUCUCAAAGUAUGCAGUUAAUUUCUCUACAAAAUUAUUGUGGUCUUAUGUUUACUCUCUAUGUACCUGUGAUAUGCAAAAUAUGAAGAAACCCUUGACCUCCAAGAGUUUACAUUCUCAUGGUGCUGUUGGUGCAAGCAAAUUGCUUCUAGUUUAAGAACAUUGCUUGGCUAUUAAUUAUACCAUAUUUGGAAGGAUCCCUUGGUGAACAAUUUUAAAAAGCAGAGGGCUAUGCUAAAUUUCAGGGCAUUGAUGCUUGAGUUUACACUGUAUUAGCUCUGCUCUUUAUCAUCUUUCCCCCAGGGAACUGUGUAGGUAAUGCUUAUUAAUGUGAAUCAGAAAAGAAAUCAUUCUGCCUAAGAGCAUCUUCAUCUGCCUAUACUACCUAUGCUCUUCUAUGAUAUAGCUGUCAAUCAAUGGUCAAAAGUUAACUGUACUAUAAGACUGUACAUCUCUCAGUUCUCUUUCUUUUCCCAGAGCUUUUACAUUAUUCUCAAAAGGGCAGGAUUUCCAAAUAAGCCUUUUAAAAUUGAUUAGGGGUCCUAAUUUAAACAUUUUUGUUUAUGGCUUGUUUGUUCUGAAGCAGGAUUGUGAUAGAUAGGGAACCUCUGCCUGCAUUUUAAGCAACCCAAACAUUCAGUUGAAACCUUGCAUGUAUCCUUGUUAUUUCCCAUACUCCCCUAAAUCAAGGGUUUUACUUUGCAUGUUUGUUAAACUAAAACUGGAUCUGGUUGAAAGUGCAAGCAAUAGUGGCAGGCCCAUAAGUAUGAUUUUAGAGUACUAAUCUAAUGCAUGACUGAAUAUUUCCAGUGUUGUAGUUAACUAGUAAUUUUAUAUAUGCACUUAAAAUAAUGAAGCAAUAGAGACUUAAACCAAUAGCUUGAAGUUAAUUGGAUUAUUAGUUAUAUUUUUUAAAUUAAAGAUUAUCUUACUUCCAUUGAAAAUGGGAAGUAGAAGAUAAACAGGGGCAACCAUAAGACAUUCAAACUGUCAGGAAUAGGGCAUAACAGUGCUCACCUUCUAACCUCUUGCCUGGUUCCAUUAAUCCCCAAGCAUGUUUGAAAACAAAAGGCACAAACUAAGCAUGUUAAAUAAGUAAGCCGCUAUGGCUAUAAUAUCAGAAAGGUGCAGAGUUUCAGAAAGAAUAGGAAACUAAAGAAUGCCAAUACGGAGCAUAUAAAAUAGGUAUAGGGUUUAUGUUACAAUUUAUGUAGACUAAGUUUAGAGUCACUUAAAACUAUCUUGGAAUUGAGUUUAGUAUGCAUGUAUUUCAGAUGUUUCAGGAUUUUCAGGUAACUUGUAGAUUGUUACUGGUACUGACCAGCCAUCAAAGACCCCUGCAACAAGGGAGACAGUACAAAUAUUGAUAACCUCUGUGUUUUGGCUUGCUAUUAUAAGAAAACUUUUAUAGUCAAGUUUUAUACUUGAUUGUUUAGUACAAUUUCUUGCCUAAAGCAUUUUUUUUUUUUUUUUUUAGUAGUGGGGACUAAGUUGCCCAGGCUAGAAUACAGUGACAUCAACACUAGCUCACUGAAGCCUUGAACUCUUAGACUCAAGAAACCCCCCUGCUUCAGCCUUUGAGUAACUGGGACUAAAAGUGCAUACCACCAUACCAGGCUCAUUUUUUAAUUUUUUUCUGUAAACAAUGGAGUCUUGCUACAGUUCCCAGGAUAGUCUCAAAUUCCUCGCCUCCCAAAGUGUUUAGAUUAUAGGCAUGAGCCACCACACCUGACCCCGAAGUCUUUUGAUACCAGGUAAACAGGUUUUUUAUCUUUAAAAACCAAGAAAAUCCUUGCCAUUUAUUUUAUUGGUGAAAACAUUGCUGUAAUAGCUGAAAAUUUUUCUUGAGAAGAUCUCUGACUUUCGAAUGGGAUUUGUGAUGUCUGAAAGCCUAAAUAAGAGAAUUCCUGACUAAACUAGAUGAUUUUCACUACCUUCCAGAUUUUAUGUUCUAUGGUGAAAAAAGUAAUUUUUCAAUAUUACUUUAACUUAAUAUUCUUUACUGUGGGACUUAGCACUACAAAUAUUUUGAUAGUGAAUUAAGUGGAAUGGUUAAGUUUCCAGAGGUUCAUACUUAAAAUUAAACUUCUUGUCAUUGUGAUGUUUGGUUUCCACACAGGGCAAGUAAAAAGUCAUCCCAUACCUAAAUUUUCUCUUUGCCACUUAUUGAUAGCAUGUCUCCCAACCAAUAAAGUUUAAGGACAGAGUUUCUCUAAAUUCUCUGAUUAUUCCACUAAGGCAUGUUAAAAUAAUUAAUAUUGGAAAACCAAACAUCACAGAUGUCUCCAGGAACUCACAUUUCUAAAUAAAGUCAGAAUAGGUAUCUCAGGAUUACAUUUUUUGAGUUUUGUCUCCUUUGGUGAUGAUAUGUCAUGCUAUAAAUUAAAAUGUAUUUUUUCUCCCAGAAGUAAGGAAAAUGUUCUGGCAAAUCAUUAUCAUCAAUUUGUAAAUAACAGUAAUAGUCCUGGUGCUUAUCUUCAGACCACCCAUUUCUUAUAGUUAUAAAGAUUAGUAUUAGAAUGUCCUUUACAUUAUAGUUAAUUUACUGUCCUAUAUAAUAUCCACAUUAUAGUUUACUGUUCUAUAAGGAGUUGCUCACUGUGUUUAACUUAUCUUUACAUUGCAUCAUUAGUAUAUAUCAUAAUAAUAAAAGAAUUGUAUAGAAUAUGUUUGAAGUAUUACAAAAGGCAGGUUGCUUUUUACUCUAUGCAUCUUUGAGAUUUUGAAGAAGAAAUUUUAUUCUUUGAUGUAAAAAGGAACUGUUAUGAGGGUUCAGAAACUCUGCACCUAUGUAUAUAUAUAUAUUUUUAGCAAUAAAGCAGCAUGGGCUGAGAAUGCA
Molecule: long non-coding RNA, 8566 nt
Organism: Nycticebus coucang (slow loris)
Lineage: Eukaryota; Metazoa; Chordata; Mammalia; Primates; Lorisidae
Exons: 4
Source: RefSeq, a predicted model, not a curated record